This 491-nucleotide ribosomal RNA is filed under the name uncultured bacterium. RNAcentral's name for it is "partial 16S ribosomal RNA". It matches the Rfam family "Bacterial small subunit ribosomal RNA", at positions 29 to 506 of the family's 1533-position model. The record is from RNAcentral.
AUUGAACGCUGGCGGCAUGCUUUACACAUGCAAGUCGAACGGUAACAGGCCUUCGGGUGCUGACGAGUGGCGAACGGGUGAGUAAUGCAUCGGAACGUACCCAGAGGUGGGGGAUAACGCAGCGAAAGCUGUGCUAAUACCGCAUGUGAUCUGAGGAUGAAAGCGGGGGACCGAGCAGCAAUGUUUGGCCUCGCGCCUUUGGAGCGGCCGAUGUCGGAUUAGCUAGUUGGUGGGGUAAAGGCCUACCAAGGCGACGAUCCGUAGCUGGUCUGAGAGGACGAACAGCCACACUGGGACUGAGACACGGCCCAGACUCCUACGGGAGGCAGCAGUGGGGAAUUUUGGACAAUGGGCGCAAGCCUGAUCCAGCAAUGCCGCGUGCGGGAAGAAGGCCUUCGGGUUGUAAACCGCUUUUGGCAGGAACGAAACGGUGUCCGCUAAUACCGGGCGCUAAUGACGGUACCUGCAGAAUAAGCACCGGCUAACUACGU